UUUACAAAGCUAUGGAGACUCUAGAACCAGCGACCUAAGGAUCACCGUUAAUGCAUCUACAGUCCUCCGCUCUGCCAACUGAGCUAUCGA
Non-coding RNA from Cordylochernes scorpioides, 90 nucleotides. The record is from the annotation of a GenBank genome assembly. NCBI's taxonomy places the organism in Eukaryota, Metazoa, Arthropoda, Arachnida, Pseudoscorpiones, Chernetidae.